CACAGAUCACGUGGAUAUGGUGAAAAGCCUAGAACACCACUGGAAAUUGACGUCGUCUUAAGAGGGCUCCCUUGCCUCACCGCGACAGUGCGAUGCCAUCAUCUGUCUUCCGCUCGAUAUGUUCAGAUUGAAAGCCCCCUCACACAUCAUUUCCCGCCACCUUAUUUUCCGGAAAUUCCAUCUAGGCCCCAGCGACCCACGACGGCAAAAGCAAAGAGAGCCUCUCACCGAGGCGCUCCUAGCUCUCUUGAAACAAUGUGGUUCCACCAAAUCACUGCAACAAAUUCACACCCAAAUGCUUAUAAACUCCAUACAAAAACCCAAUUUUCUGCUAUCCAAGCUCAUUGAUCUCAAAGACUUCAACUAUGCUUCCCUUCUCUUCUCUCAAAUGCCCCAGCCUAAUGACUACGCUUUCAAUGUCAUGAUCCGUGGACUAACCACCACAUGGCAGCUAUUCAAUCUUACCAUUGAAUUCUAUUACCGAAUGAAGUCUUCGGGCAUAAGGCCGAAUAAUUUCACCUACCCAUUUUUAUUCAUUGCGUGCGCGAAUCUUUUAGCAUUGAAUCAUGCCCAGGCGGCCCAUUCAUCAGUUUUAAAAAUUGGGUUGGACAAUGACGGUCACGUGAGCCACUCGUUGAUCACAAUGUAUGCCAUGUGCACCGAAUUGCCUUAUGCGCGGAAGGUGUUUGAUGAAAUUGUUGAAAGGGACUUGGUUUCAUGGAAUUCAAUGAUUUCGGGGUACUCGAAAAUGGGCUUUGCCAGAGAUGCAGUGAGAUUGUUUUGGGCAAUGACGGAUGCAGGGUUUGAGCCCGAUGAAAUGACUUUGGUGAGUGUUCUUGGAGCUUGCGGGGAUUUGGGAGAUCUGAGUUUGGGGAGAUGUAUUGAGGGGUUUGUUGUGGAAAAUAAAAUGGAGCUGAACUCUUACGUUGGGUCUGCUUUGAUUGAUAUGUACAGCAAGUGUGGGGAUCUGUUGUCUGCUAGGAGGGUCUUUGAUGGAAUGCUAAAGAAGGACGUGGUUGCUUGGAAUGCUAUGAUCACAGGGUUUGCACAAAAUGGAAUGUCGGACGAUGCAAUCAUGCUAUUCAAUGACAUGAGAAAAGAAGGAAUCAGCCCAGAUAAAAUCACAUUAAUUGGUGUGCUAUCUGCUUGUGCCUCAGUUGGGUCCCUUGACUUCGGAAAAUGGGUUGAUGCAUAUACAUUGCAGAGAGGCCUACAAUGUGAUACAUAUGUUGCUACUGCCUUAAUUGACAUGUAUGCAAAGUGUGGAUGUUUAGAUCACGCACUUAGAGUUUUUGAAGACAUGCCUCAGAAAAAUGAGGUCUCUUGGAAUGCAAUGAUCUCAGCUCUUGCUUUUCAUGGCCAGGCCAGGGAGGCAUUAUCACUCUUUCUGCACAUGUUAAGGGACCAUGGGACCGUUCGACCAAAUGAUGUCACAUUUGUAGGGGUACUUUCUGCAUGUGUACAUGCUGGAUUGGUUGAUGAGGGCCGUCAAUUGUUUAAUUCAAUGGGUCUGUCAUUUGGUUUGGUCCCUAAAAUUGAGCAUUAUUCUUGUAUGGUUGAUCUUUUGGCUCGUGCAGGACGUGUGCAUGAAGCAUGGGAUUUAAUUGAGAAGAUGCCUGAAAAACCAGAUGAAGUAACAUUAGGGGCAUUGCUUCGUGCCUGUCUGAAAGUAAAAAACGUUGAUGUCAGUGAGCAUGUAAUGCAGCUGCUUUUUGAUAUGGAGCCCUCAAAUUCGGGAAACUACAUUAUUUCAUCAAAGAUAUAUGCAAGUUUGAAUAGAUGGGAUGAUGCAGCGAGGAUGAGAAUGUUGAUGAGGCAGAAAGGUGUGACUAAAACUCCUGGUUGUAGCUGGAUUGAGAUUGGGAAUCAACUUCAUGAAUUUCAUGCUGGUGAUGGAUUCCACCUUAAUUUAAAAGGGAUUUACUUCAUUCUUAAUUUUUUGAAUGAGGAGAUGAAGCUGGAAGGCUAUUUUCCAAAUAUUUAUUUAUUAUAGUUGCAAAGGACGAGAAGAUUGUUGAACUCACAAAGGAUGCCAAAUGCCAAAGAAUUUGCUGGAAUAUUUGUGUUUGUCCAGAUCAUAUUUAGUAUAGGUACUCGUACAUGAAGUACUAGAUCGAAGGCAAAGAUCAGACCGAAUUGACUUGCGAAUUGGAAGAUAAAAAGAACACGUAUUUGGAAGGACCCAGCACAACCGGAAGCUUAAUUGUAGAAUUAUUUGUAAUAGGGCUAUGUGUGAGGUAGGAAUUUUUUGUAACUCUUGCGUUUUGUUUCUUACAUGAUUUCUGAGCAAGAGUUGAGCAAUGCAUGCAUACUAGGACACAUGAGUCUAUAGGAUUGCACUAAAGUCAUAAACACAAACUCACCUUUCAUGGUUUACUUAAAGAGUUUGUUAAAUGAAUCCUAAACUCAAAACAUGGUUUUCAAAGGGACAAGUUUUUAACAUCUUGGUUUUAUAAACAUUUUCAUACUUGGUCCCAAAUGUGUCAAAACUAGUCUUAUGUCCAAAAGCUUCAAAGAAGUCAAGUAUUUUUCAUAAAAGGACAUAAUGACAUAUAAGAUAUCAAACGAGCUUUCAAAUGGGUUUUUAUUAACAAGAUAUCUUAUAAUCAAGGGAAAACUCACUUGGACAAGUUUUGAACUUCAUUAGACUCAAUAUCUUUCUCAUAUUUUGUCCAAGAAAUGUUUUAAGUCAUCAAAAGGUUUUUUGACAAGGAAAAACCAAGCAAUCGUCGUUUAACGUAGUGCAACCUCGAGUCCUGAACAACUUUCGGUUUUUGGGGCAUAACUUUUGCUAGAAAGGUCCAAAGAGGACGAUCUUGGUAUCUAUGGAAAGCUAAGAAAAUUUUCGACAACUUUUGUGUUGAUGACUUUUUCUGAUUUAGGGUUAUAGUUGUCCAAAAUAGGGGAAUGAUUGACCACUACAGGGGAAUGGUCGACCAGCAAUUCCAGUAGCCAUUUUUCCUCAUAGACCAGGUGAAUGGUCGACCAGAGAAAGUGAAUGGUCGACUAGUGGCCUCGUGCCCAACGAUGUAACGGUUAGAAAACGGCUAGUUUUGUUUCUGAGUUGCUCCCAACGGCUGGUUAACGACUAUAAGGGCUUUUUGGCUAUAAAUACAAGUCCAUAGACUUGUUUAGUAUGGUUUUUGAUUGUUGUUGAUCAUAUUUGUGAAAAAUAUCCUUGAAUCCAAAACCUAACACUUUGCACUUUGCGUCUAAGUCAAUCAUUCAAAAGUGCUCAUUUUCUCUUGCUCAUUGAUCUUGUGUGAAUCAUUCCUUGAGAGAUAAUAGUGAGGAUUUGAUUGUAUUUCAUAUUUAGCUCAUUUGAGGAGCAUUUCGUUGUAUAUCAUCUUCUUGGUUGUAAGGUUCUUUGUGAACCGGUUUGUUGGAAGGUUCUUUGUGAACCACUUGGUGAAGGCUCUUUGUGAGCAUGUAGGGAUUUGUUCCCGAAGUUGUAAGGCUUGCUCUGCCGGGGAAGGAGUGUUUAUAGUGGACUAUGGAAUCCUUGGCUUGGUGCUAAGGCGUGGACAUAGGCUUGGUGCCGAACCAUGUUAAAUCCAGGGUGAGUCUGGAUCCAGUUUUCAGCCAAGAGGAAUGUCUUAUUGCCCCACUAAUUGCAUCUUGACGUACUUUGACUUGCAGUCAACAGAAUUGCAAUCGCAUUGACACACGGGAUCACACCUCAUUUCCUUUCAUACAUGCUGUCUGAAGUUGAAGAUCACUGGGGCGUAAAUUGGAAGCGUAUGUAUUUAUCAUGGCAUCAUUGAAGGUCAUACAUGGUGGGAGGUGAAUCGCAGAAUUGGGCCAUCACUUUUUUUUAUGGCAAUCCAUUGCGCGCACAAAUGACCUGUUGCUGCAGAAGUACAAGGCAAGGCCGACACCACCAGCCACUGUCACACUAUCAUUUCCAGCAGUGGAGUGACUUGGCUGCUGAAGAAAUCUUCAUACACUUACCUUCAAAGGUGAUGAGAAAGCAUUGAAAUCUCUCGAUCAAGAUAAAAGGCCAUCCCCACCAUGAUGAAACGUACAAAGCCCUGAGGUCCCUCAGUGCUUCCUGUCUGUGGUUACCCUUUUCUUUUUGCCAUGAUUGAUGAUAUUGUCAUCUGCGCAGCUUGCACUACUCUUCCAAGCUCUACCCAAAUGAUUUCUGUACAAAAAGGCACGCUCAGUAAUCAACCCCAAACCCUGACCCCUACUCAUCUCCCAAGGGCUGGAAUCUCCACACCCACAGAUGAUGUGUGUAUGCACUGUUUGCAUCUUUUUUUUUUUUUUCAUGUGUUGUUUAGUACUUGCUGUCAUCUUUAGUCCAUCUCAACCCCACUUUUUUUUAAAAAAUAAAAAUAAAAGUUAAAGCGUAAUAAAUCUAUGCGCUAUGCUUAAGAUCAAAUUAUGCAAUAAAAUUAACACAAAUCUAGAUCUUGUGUUUGUGUCA
Malania oleifera is the source of this 4429-nucleotide RNA transcript. It is a transcript of the gene named pentatricopeptide repeat-containing protein At2g34400, with no coding region annotated. The transcript has 7 exons. Lineage: Eukaryota; Viridiplantae; Streptophyta; Magnoliopsida; Santalales; Ximeniaceae. The record is from RefSeq and is a predicted model, not a curated record.